This is a long non-coding RNA of Loxodonta africana (African savanna elephant), 2708 nucleotides long. RefSeq lists it as uncharacterized. The transcript is spliced from 4 exons. The record is from RefSeq and is a predicted model, not a curated record. Lineage: Eukaryota; Metazoa; Chordata; Mammalia; Proboscidea; Elephantidae.
AUUCUUUAUUCAUUCAGCAAAUAUUUAUGGACUGCCUACAAGAUAAUAAGCAAAGUAGACAAAAAAAUCCCCACCUUCAUGGACUUUAUAUUCUGUUGAAGGGGACAGACAAUAAAUAGAGUUAAUAUGUAAACUAAAUAGGAUUAUCAGAAGAAAAAAGUAAAGGGGAGAAGGAAACAAAUAUGAACCAUCGGGGGGCAGUAGAAAUUUUACAUAGGGUUGCUGGGGAAGACCUUACACAAUCGAGAUAUUUGAGGAGAGGCUGGAAGGGAAUGAGGAAUAUAUUCAUGGAGAUAUUUGGGGAAGAAGGAACUGAAAUUACUAUGUCCCUAAGCUUGGUGUAUGUCUGUGGAUUUAGAAUAAUUAAAAGACCUGAGCAGAGAGAACACAGGGGAGAGUAGUAGGGAGAAAGAAUCAGAGAGAUAACGGGAAACCAGGUCAUGCAGAAUCUUAUAGGACUUAUAAGCCAUCUAAGGACUUUGGCUUGGACUCUGAGUGAGCUGAGGCUGUAUAGGAGAGUUUUAAGCAGAGGAGAGACAUGAUCUGAUGUACCUACAAGGACCCUUAAUUCUAUCAGACUAGCCUUCUCUGAGCCUUGGUGUCACAGUGAUUAAGAGUUUGGCUGCUAUCCAAAAAGUCAGCAUUUGAAUCCACCAGCUGCUUCUUGGAACCCUAUGGGGCAGUUAUACUUUGUCCUAUAGGGUCAAUAUGAGUCCAAGUUGACUUGAUGGCAACAAAUUUGGUUUUGGUUUGGUCUUUUCUAGCUCCCCCACAGGCUUGUUUGGACGUCUGUGCUGCUACCCAUGUUCCUUCUUUCAUUUUUCAUUUUCACCCAUGUUGUUCCUUCUUUCAUCUUCCCUUUUCACCCAUGUUGUUCCUUCUUUCACUUUUCCCUUUCACUCAUGUGAUUCCUUCUUUCAGUUUUUCCCUUUCUGUGACUUCCCCAUGCUUCAAGCCUCUAUGACCUAGCUUAAGAAUCACCUUCCUCAAGAUGUGCCCCAGUACCUGUAGAUCCUGAGGUGGCCUUCUUCCAGUGAUAUGUCCUCCACAUCGUAAGUCAUUGGACCUGUCUUUACAUUUUAUUCAGUAUUUAUCCUUCCUUAUCUUCUAAGUGUGCUCCACUCAUGAGUCUUACCUUGUCAUUGCUACUGUAAUAUCUGAAAACAGGAACAGAACCUCUUUCUUAUCAGUUAGCCACCAAGUGUUUAUUAGGCAUCUACAUCUGCCAAUGGAGUUCAUUCAUUCAUGCAAUAAACACAUCCCCAAUGAUAGUUUUUGUAAGCAGUGUGCUGAGUGUAGGGGUUACAGAUGUAAAUAAGACAGAGUACUUGCCAUGAAAGUGCUUGCAGAAGCCUACACAAACAAUCUUGAAUUAAUGUGGAUGAGCAGUGAAAGUAAAUGGCAGGGAUUUUAUGAGAACUCCAAAGAGGUACAUUAUCUAGUCAGAGGUGGAUCCAAGAAGAGAGCAUUUCAGUGGAGAGAAAAUCGUGGAGUCAAGAAACAGAAUUCUCUGUGGGUGGACUAUCAGCAGUGUGUUGUGGCUGGAGUACAUAGUGCAACACAGAGAGGAAAGAAGAAUUGGAGAGAAGCAGAGAGAUUUCCUAGAAGAAAGAAAAAAAAAAGACAAAAUUCACUCAAGUGAUCUUGGGAGAAGAUACCUUUUCAGCUGGGGAUGGAGAAAUUCGUAAUUUAUGGAUCUUCUCAGGAUGAAGAUUAAGCACUUUAGGAAGAAUCUCUGUUCUUUACAUCUAAGCUGCCUUGAAAAGAAUAAAGAAUAAGACACUAAGGCCUCUCCGGUUGUAAAAUCUUAAAUUGAAGACAAUCCAGUAACAGCUUGUCUUUGCCUGACUGCUAUAACUUAGUCUUGCAUAAUACUUCCUUUGAUAAAGCCAAAUCUCUUGUUGCAAAAUGAGCCCACAUCAAGCCUUCUAAUGUUAAUAAAUGACCAUUGUCUCUCUGAUGCCCCCGUGCUUACACUGAGCAAAGAGGAUGAGGAAAAGUCUGGGUUCCAAUGUCCCAUUCUAUUCCCAGAAUGAAAGGAUUUAUGAAGAAUCUAUUCUCAGGUGCAGUUGAAUUGACUCUGACUCAUGGCUACUCUAUGCACAACAGAAUAAAAUGUUGCCUGAUCCUAUGCUGCCUUCACAAUCGUUGGUGUGUUCAAGUCCCUUGCUGUGACUAACGUGUAAGCCUGGAAGCUAUGCCACCGGUAUUUCAAAUACCAGCAGGGUUAUCUGUAAUGGAGCUUCCAGACUCAGACUAAGAGGGGAGGCCUGGUGAUCUACCUCAAAAAUUAGCCUAUGAACACCCUAUGUAUAAUAACAGAACAUGGUUUAUCGCUUCUUUAAUUUAGGGUUUCUUUAGCUUCCCUCAGUGAUUUUUUUUAUAGUUUUUCGAGUAAAGGCGUUUUACACGUUUGUUAAAUUUAUUGAUAUUUGUUGUUUUUUAUGUAUUUUUAAUGAUAAUCCAUUACAUUUAUUUUUCUAAAUGUUUGUUAAUGGAAAAUUUGAAAAAAAAUCAUCUGGUGACAUUGUAUCAGAGAUCUUGUUAAAUACAUUUAUUAAUUUAAAAGCUUAUAAGUAGAUUAUUUUAAAUUUCUACAUAAUGUAUCAGGUUUCCUAUAAAUAAUAUUUAUAUUUUUCCUUCCUUUGCAUUGAUUCUAUGUGUAUGUGUUAUAUUUGCCUUUGCCUCAAUGCAUUGACUGGGUCCUC